This 1653-nucleotide ribosomal RNA is filed under the name Triticum aestivum (bread wheat). Its description in RNAcentral is "partial small subunit ribosomal RNA". The record is from RNAcentral. Lineage: Eukaryota; Viridiplantae; Streptophyta; Magnoliopsida; Poales; Poaceae.
AUGUACCCAAGGAUAGCGCUUUUUGAGCACGAGCCGAUGAAGAAGAUGAUUGAUAUCACAUCAGUAAACAUGGGUGGAGGAGAAAUAUCAUUUCACGGGGCAUCGGCUGAACAAAACGUCAGCAAAGGUAUUGUCUGCGCAUCAACCGAGCUUGCAAAUGAAAACAUUCCGAGGCAUUCUAAUACGACGAAACGAGUCCAGAUGCCAUCUGCGCCUAUUUUAAGAGGUACUUACAAUAAAAUUGGUCCACAAGAUUUCUCAAACCACAUACAUACAAACUAUCCAUCAAUAUCCGGUGAGAAGCUCGGGAUACUUCUCCGUGAGCACAAUGCUCGAGGUCUGGCAAACAUUUCAGAGAUGAGGCAGUCUUUCCAGUCAUCAAUGUUCACAUUUGCGGACAAGCUCAUCAACUGCAUCGCUGAGAAUUGUUCUUGUUGCAAGGCCAACGGACGUAAACAAUGCAUCCUGAAGAGUGAAAAUCAAAACAGUUGCACCAACUUGGCCAACACUCCUAUGCAAGAAAAAAUAGACAAUUCGUUUGUUACCCCUAUUUGCAACAAGGUUUCUCCCAGGCUGGCUGGACAACUCCCAAACGACGGUAGCUCGUCGGCCAAUAGCUCCAUUGCAAGGAAGAGGGGAGUUGUGUUCAGCCCGGCCAUCCAGACGGAAUCAUCAAAAAAGGUGUAUCUUCGGCUGGACGACCCACUCCAAGCAGUUUCCCAUUCAGCAGUAGAUACUGUCAACAACUCAUCUCUGUCUGCGAAGCAAGACACUCGCCGAGAGGUUGCCAAUACGAUUUAUUCAUUCUUUGAUGACCUGACUGCUAGCAUAGUCACGUACUAUGCCGAGCAACGACUGAGCUCUGGAUAUGUUACAUUCGGAACUACAAACGACACCAUGCCAGCCAAAAUUCGGAUAACAAAGUGCAACAUCGCCCGCGACCCAUGGGCAAUCGGUUCAGUUCCGAUGCCGCCGGCAGUCCCAGUCCUUAGAGCCAUAAAAGAUUGGUUGGCUGUGUCAUCCACAUUCGUCCUUGAAAGGAAAUGGAUUAUGCAUCCAAAACCAAGACUCAUACUGCUCGAUGGCAUUGAAAUCCAACAACAACUAUCAGGAAAAGAACAACUUAGUCAUGAGAUGUGUGCUGUUAUUUUUAGGAGGCUUUCACAGAUGGACAAGACCUAUUCGAAGGACACUUUGACUAUGUUUUGGAGGAAGUUUCUUGAGCCUGAUUUCGCCACCCCAGUUUUAUCUAAUGCCGAUCCAUUGACCAUCCAGUCGAUCCGUGCAACAUUUACAGAAGAAAACGAGUUUUUCAGCCCAGCCUCUAGUCGGAUGUGGCAUAUACCUCCACUCCUACCGGACGGAUGGGCCGUCUACGCAUUCGACAUGGCCAGGCGAAGGAUUUUAGUACUAGACCCGGCCGUCGGCCCAUUUGGUUUUAGCAAUAGAAGGAUCAACAUGCACACAUAUGUGUCUGACCUACUUCACGCUGCACUCUUCAGAUGCAUCCAAUCUUUAUAUGAUUCCUGGCACUGCAGUUCCGGAGAAUGGACCCGUGCAUUUCCUGUGAUAUCACGGGCAUCCCUUGUCCAUCGCUUCAAUAUGUGCUUUUCUGGUAUCUUGCUCAACUUGAGCUUGAUCAUAACCUGCUGA